RNAcentral lists this ribosomal RNA (253 nucleotides) under uncultured bacterium. RNAcentral's name for it is "partial 16S ribosomal RNA". It matches the Rfam family "Bacterial small subunit ribosomal RNA", at positions 524 to 776 of the family's 1533-position model. The record is from RNAcentral.
UACAGAGGGGGCAAGCGUUAUUCGGAAUUAUUGGGCGUAAAGGGCGCGUAGGCGGCUUUUCAAGUGACGGGUGAAAUCCCUCGGCUUAACCGAGGAACUGCCUGUCAGACUGGAAGGCUUGAGACCGGGAGAGGUGAGUGGAAUUCCCAGUGUAGCGGUGAAAUGCGUAGAUAUUGGGAGGAACACCUGGGGCGAAAGCGGCGCACUGGACCACAACUGACGCUGAGGCGCGAAAGCUAGGGGAGCAAACAGG